This 744-nucleotide non-coding RNA is filed under the name Longitarsus nigrofasciatus. The record is from RNAcentral. Lineage: Eukaryota; Metazoa; Arthropoda; Insecta; Coleoptera; Chrysomelidae.
AAAAAGUUUUAUUUUAGCUUAAAAAUUAAGUAUUAUUUUUUUUUAUAUGUAAAUUUUGUUAAAGAAUUAAUAUGCAGUAUUUAAUUUUAUAAAUUUAAGAAAUUAAGAAUUAGAAAUAAUAAAAAGUAUAAACUAAAUUUGUGCCAGCAGUUGCGGUUAUACAAAUUAUAUAAAUUAAUUUUAUUAAUUUUAAUUAAUUUUAUUUUUAAGUUUUAAAGAUAAAUUUAUUUGGUGAAAUUAUAAAUUUAUAAUAAAAUUUUUAUUUGUUAAUAAUGUUAAGAAAUUUUUGUAAUAAACUAGGAUUAGAUACCCUAUUAUUAAAAGUGUAAUAUUAGUAUUAAAUUAGUAUUAGUUAUGAUCUUGAAAAUUAAAAAUUUUGGCGGUAUUUUAAUCUAUUCAGAGGAACCUGUUCUAUAAAUGAUAAUCCACGAUUUAAUUUACUUUUAUUAUUAAUUUAUAUAUCAUCGUUAUUUAAAUAUCUUUUUAAAGUUUAAAUAUUUAAAAUUUUUUUAAUAAAAUAUUUCAGAUCAAGGUAUAGUUUAUAUAAAAGAAGAAAUGGGUUACAAUAAAUAUAUUUUAGGAUUAAUAUUUUUAAAUUAUUAUGAAUUUGGAUUUGAUAGUAAUUUUAAUAAAUUUAUUAAAAUGAUUUUAGUACUAAAAUAUGUACAUAUUGCCCGUCACUUUCAUUUAAUAUGAAAUAAGUCGUAACAAAGUAGAUUUACUGGAAAGUGAAUCUAGAAAACA